This 96-nucleotide transfer RNA is filed under the name Microbulbifer aggregans. RNAcentral's name for it is "tRNA-Arg". The record is from RNAcentral. Lineage: Bacteria; Pseudomonadati; Pseudomonadota; Gammaproteobacteria; Cellvibrionales; Microbulbiferaceae.
GCAGCUCUACGAAGGUGCUUAUUCAUCGUCACUCCUAUUGAUGCUCUGAUUGUUAUCGGUGUCGGAGUCAGCUGGCGCGGUGCCAGUGGGCAGCGC